Ascoidea rubescens DSM 1968 is the source of this 94-nucleotide transfer RNA. It matches the Rfam family "tRNA". From Rfam's summary of the family: Transfer RNA (tRNA) molecules are approximately 80 nucleotides in length. Their secondary structure includes four short double-helical elements and three loops (D, anti-codon, and T loops). Further hydrogen bonds mediate the characteristic L-shaped molecular structure. tRNAs have two regions of fundamental functional importance: the anti-codon, which is responsible for specific mRNA codon recognition, and the 3' end, to which the tRNAs corresponding amino acid is attached (by aminoacyl-tRNA synthetases). tRNAs cope with the degeneracy of the genetic code in two manners: having more than one tRNA (with a specific anti-codon) for a particular amino acid; and 'wobble' base-pairing, i.e. permitting non-standard base-pairing at the 3rd anti-codon position. NCBI's taxonomy places the organism in Eukaryota, Fungi, Ascomycota, Saccharomycetes, Ascoideales, Ascoideaceae. The record is from Rfam.
GCCUGGCUAGCGUAAUGGUUAACGCGUCUGACUUCUAACAACUGUUAAGUGUUAAGUCAUCAGAAGAUUGUGGGUUCGACUCCCACGUCGGGUG